GGGGUGCAGCAGGCGCGAAAACUUUGCAAUACACGAAAGUGUGACAGGGCUAUCCCGAGUGCCAUCCGCUGAGGAAGGCUUUUACCCAGUCUAGAACGCUGGGGGAAUAAGGAGAGGGCAAGUCUGGUGUCAGCCGCCGCGGUAAUACCAGCUCUCCGAGUGGUGUGGAUGUUUAUUGGGCCUAAAGCAUCCGUAGCUGGCUAAGUUAGUCCCUUGUUAAAUCCACCGAAUUAAUCGUUGGAUUGCGGGGGAUACUGCUUGGCUAGGGGACGAGAGAGGCAGACGGUAUUUCCGGGGUAGGGGUGAAAUCCUAUAAUCCCGGGAAGACCACCAGUGGCGAAGGCUGUCUGCUAGAACGCGCCCGACGGUGAGGGAUGAAAGCUGGGGGAGCGAACCGGAUUAGAUACCCGGGUAGUCCCAGCUGUAAACGAUGCAGGCUAGGUGUUUGGACGGCCACGUGCCGUUCUGGUGCCGCAGGGAAGCUGUUAAGCCUGCCGCCUGGGGAGUACGAUCGCAAGAUUGAAACUUAAAGGAAUUGGCGGGGGAGCAC
Molecule: ribosomal RNA, 550 nt
Filed under: uncultured archaeon
Lineage: Archaea
Description: bacterial SSU rRNA
Rfam family: Archaeal small subunit ribosomal RNA
Source: RNAcentral